GAUGAACGCUGGCGGCGUGCCUAAUACAUGCAAGUCGAGCGAACAGACGAGGAGCUUGCUCCUCUGACGUUAGCGGCGGACGGGUGAGUAACACGUGGAUAACCUACCUAUAAGACUGGGAUAACUUCGGGAAACCGGAGCUAAUACCGGAUAAUAUAUUGAACCGCAUGGUUCAAUAGUGAAAGACGGUUUUGCUGUCACUUAUAGAUGGAUCCGCGCCGCAUUAGCUAGUUGGUAAGGUAACGGCUUACCAAGGCGACGAUGCGUAGCCGACCUGAGAGGGUGAUCGGCCACACUGGAGCUGAGACACGGUCCAGACUCCUACGGGAGGCAGCAGUAGGGAAUCUUCCGCAAUGGGCGAAAGCCUGACGGAGCAACGCCGCGUGAGUGAUGAAGGUCUUCGGAUCGUAAAACUCUGUUAUUAGGGAAGAACAAAUGUGUAAGUAACUCUGCACAUCUUGACGGUACCUAAUCAGAAAGCCACGGCUAACUACGUG
RNAcentral lists this ribosomal RNA (497 nucleotides) under uncultured bacterium. RNAcentral's name for it is "partial 16S ribosomal RNA". It matches the Rfam family "Bacterial small subunit ribosomal RNA", at positions 28 to 507 of the family's 1533-position model. The record is from RNAcentral.